UUUUAUUGAGAUGUCUACCAGGUGGAUUUCAGUUCUUCUGCUGCUGCUGCUACAGUUCAGCUGCCACUUCAGUGCUGUGGGAUGUGGAAAAGUAUUGGUGUGGCCGAUGGAUUUCAGUCACUGGAUCAAUAUGAAGACCAUCCUGGAUGAACUCGUGCAGAGGGGACAUGAGGUGACUGUUCUCAAAUCUUCAGCUUCUGUUCUGCUUGAUCAGAACAAUUCUUCAGCUAUUAAGUUUGAAACUUUUCCUGUAUCAAUAUCCAAAGAUGAGUAUGAGAUGAUUUUCACAGAAGACCUAAUGAAAUAUGUUUAUGAACUGGCUAAAUAUUCAGUUUGGAAAUAUUUUUCAGAACUUCAAAAACUGGCAUAUAUUGAAUCUGAUUUUUCUGAAAACAUAUGUAGAGAUGCAGUUUUGAAUAAGGAACUUAUGACAAAGCUGAAAGAGUCGAGGUUUGAUGUUAUUUUUGCAGAUGCCCUGUGUCCCUGUGGUGAGCUGCUGGCUGAGCUACUGAAAGUCCCCUUUCUGUACACACACCGCCUCUUUCCAGGCUACACGUAUGAAAAGUACAGUGGAGGACUUUUGCUUCCCCCUUCCUAUGUGCCUAAUACCUUGUCAGAAUUAACUGAUAAAAUGACAUUCAUGCAGAGAGUAAAAAAUAUGUUGUACGUGCUUUAUUUUGACUUUUGGUUCCAAACUUUCAAUGAGAAGAAAUGGGAUCAAUUUUACAGUGAAGUGCUUGGCAGACCCACUAAACUGACUGAGUUAAUGGGGAAAGCUGAAAUAUGGCUUAUCAGGACCUACUGGGAUGUGGAAUUUCCUCGCCCACUCUUACCAAAUGUUGAUUUUGUUGGAGGGCUCCACUGCAGACCUGCCAAACCCCUGCCUAAGGACAUGGAAGACUUUGUGCAGAGCUCUGGAGAGGAGGGAGUUGUGGUGUUUUCUCUGGGCUCAAUGAUCAGUAACAUGACAGAAGAGAGGGCCAAUGUGAUCGCAUCAGCCCUUGCCCAGCUUCCCCAAAAGGUUCUAUGGAGAUACAGUGGCAAGAAACCACGCACCUUAGGACCCAACACUCAGCUUCAUACUUGGGUUCCUCAGAAUGACCUUCUCGGUCACCCCAAAACCAGAGCUUUCAUCACUCAUGGUGGAACCAACGGCAUCUACGAGGCGAUUCACCAUGGUGUGCCCUUAGUAGGCAUUCCUCUGUUUGCGGAUCAGUUUGAUAACAUUGCUCAUGUGAAGGCCAAGGGAGCUGCUGUUAAAGUGGACUUUAUCACAAUGUCAAGUGCAGAUUUGCUCAGUGCAGUGAAGACAGUCAUUAAUGAUCCUUCGUAUAAAGAGAAUGCGAUGACAUUAUCAAGAAUUCACCACGAUCACCCCAUGAAGCCCCUGGACCGAGCAGCCUUCUGGAUUGAGCAUGUCAUGCGCCACAAGGGAGCCAAACACCUGCGGGUUGCAGCUCACGACCUCACCUGGUACCAGUACCACUCUCUGGAUGUGAUUGGGUUCCUGCUGGCCUGUGUGGCCACUGCUGCACUCAUCAUCAUCAAAUGUUGUCUCUUUUGUUACCGGAUGUUUGUUAAAAGUGUUAAGAGGAAAAGGGAGUAGAUCAAGUAUGCUAACUUGAAGGAGGAACACCUGAUAGAUGAGCUGUCCCCGGCUUAAUUCAGCAAGCUGAGGCUAUAACGUAGGUCAGUUUGGUUGCCAGAAGGCCUCAAGUGUGGGAGUAGGAAAACCAAAGACUAAGACUCACUUAUCUAGUAUGGUGGUUGUUGACACCUUUGUUGUAAUCUGCAAGUAAAGAAAAGACCCUAAUAACUUUAUAGAGAUGAAUUGGACUC
RNA transcript from Ochotona princeps (American pika), 1839 nucleotides. It is a transcript of the gene named UDP-glucuronosyltransferase 2B17, with no coding region annotated. Lineage: Eukaryota; Metazoa; Chordata; Mammalia; Lagomorpha; Ochotonidae. The transcript has 7 exons. The record is from RefSeq and is a predicted model, not a curated record.